Molecule: long non-coding RNA, 274 nt
Filed under: Carica papaya (papaya)
Lineage: Eukaryota; Viridiplantae; Streptophyta; Magnoliopsida; Brassicales; Caricaceae
Description: long non-coding RNA (CPAP_LNC000757)
Source: RNAcentral
AUAGCGUUAGGGUUUACAUUCUUUAUAUAAUAAUUCAGAAUACCCAAUAAGGUUACGGGAAUGACCAUUCUAAAAGAACAACGAAAAAUCAAAGAAAUAGUUAGAAACUAAACAAUUGAACAUCCUAUUUGCAACCCUCUUGUGGAUCGGGAUCUAAAUCUUGGUCAUUUUGAUCUAACAUGGUUAAUAAAAGAGUGAGAAACAUUAGUCCAGUAAGCAUAUCACAUUACUCAUCGAUACAGAAAUGAAGGUUGGUAAAAAUCAUGAAAAUAAU